UAGCACAGCAGCUGGCCAGCACUGGCAGAGGGGGACGUGUGCUCAGCUCUGUGGUGGCACCAAUGUAGGUCAGCAGAUAACACAGGCAGAAUUUAACCUCCUCAAUAAAGUGACAGUCAUUUAAAUAGCAUCUUGCAGUCCUUGCUCAGAAACAGGCUUAUUGAUCCCUGAGGUCUUUAAGCACUUCCAUAUCCUUCACCAUCCCCAUGCCUCCACCGCCAUCCUGGUCCCUUGGUUAUUCAAUUAAUGGUAUGGAAAAAGCAUCUGGUGACCUUUGAUGACAGCAGUUAGUGGGAUGCUGUAACAGAAGGGAGGAGUCUUGAGGCCAGAGGGGUUUCCAGACACGUGAGGUGUGCUGCCAGACCUCAGUGUAUACAGUUUUUCAGUUGCAGUGAGUGAUUCUGUAGCUGUAAACCUUGAGGAGGCCUUUUUACAGGCAUUAUUGUUAAUUGCCUGCACACAGCAAGUGUGUCAGCACUGCACUCACAGCUGUACGCUUUGACAGUUUGGACACAUCAGCCAACUGCUGUUUGCAGAGAGCUGUUGACAGUUGCUGUGUGUUUGCACCCUGGAUUUUCAGUCCAGGUCCCCAGCAGCCAGAGCUCUCACGUUCCAGCUGCAGCAAGCACGGACUCCAGGCACCUAGGCAAGCAGUCUAGCUAUCGCAGAACUUUCUGGGGAUCGGGUUGUCCUAGGAGCUCCUGCUGGCAGAGGAAAGAGCCUGAAGUUAGUGUACUCCUAACAAAGGAGGUAAUAAGUGCCUAGUAUUGAGUGUGAUGAGUCUGGGCCGUGUAGAAGGAUUUGUGUCUUGAUAUUGUGGAGGAAUGGAGAGAGCUCAAAGCAACAAAUUGCCAGCCAGAGCCAGACCCUUAACUACAAAAGAGUAGGAUUAUUGAGAGCUCUGAUUGCAGAAGCAUUUGUGAAGAUGUUUUAAGAGCUCCAUGCAAUGCCCCCUCAGCACAGACUGUUUUGAGGAAAUUUUUCUAUAGGCACUUCUCUUUCUUCAGCAGUUGCACAGCUGUCCCUGGCUCCUACAGGGCAGGGCAGGGGCAGGCUGAUCUUGCUUUGCAGGAGAAGCCAGUCCUUCUCUGCAGAUGCAUCCAGCAACAGGACUGGUUCAGAUCUAACAUCUGGGUGCUCUGCUGGUGACUGUGGGCUGAAGAUGCUUCUAGGUGUGUCCAGGGCUGCAGGCUCCUGGCUCAUUAACAACACCCACACUCGUCUGAGUGGAGAAGGGCAGUGAGUGCUCAGAAAUGGCACGUUCUGGGCAGCACAGGCUCCUCUAGGAGCAAAGAAGCUACCUGCAGAUGCAACUGCUGCAUGCUGAUGGGUCAGGAACCUGGCUGGUGCUGUGCCCCUACAUGCUGGCACCUACAUGUUGGGAUAUUUAUUUGCCUGAUGGAAUGUAGUCUGUUCCAUCCAGCUGAUCCAUCCAGGGAGCAAGGCAGGUCUUUGUCCAGUGCUUUUGCCAAAGAGCAACAGCCCUUCAGGGACCCUACGAGCUCACAGGGGGCUGAGAGUCACUCCCGCACCUGUGGCUCUGCCGCUGGGGAUUGUGGCAUUUGCCACGGUCUCAUUCUGAAUGCGUCCUGUGAGAUUUGUGCCCCUGUGCUUGCAGACCACAAUGGCAGCUGGGCGCUGCGACUCUGCUCUCGGCCCCAGCACAGAGAUGCUGCAGCAGCAUCACCUUUAAUGCCUUUGCUCUGUGCCACAGUGAACUCCAGAAGGCAAGGUGUCCAAGCCUCCUCCAGGGAGUUAUUUACAAAAGAUGGAUGUGAUCCAUGGGGAUCAUUAAGGGGAAAUGAAAAAAGGCAGUGAUAUCUGCACCCCCAGGAGAAAAAUACAUCUCUGGUAACUAAGUGCAAGCAAGUCCAUGUAAGUCACUGCCUCCCACUUGCCUUGGUAAUACACUACCUGUAUUACCUUUCCCCCAAAUCCUCCAAGAAGCUGCUCCAUCACCACCAGCAAGCUGGCUGCUUUAACCACAUCUGCCAUAGCUAAUACCACUUCUCCCCACAUCCUUUCAUUUAUGAAGACCUAGAGUGUCCUUUAGGGUAGGUAUAUCAGAUUUUUGCAGCUCAGAAUAAUCUCAGUUUUGUAUCUGUGCUCUUUGUGUUCAGUGCAAAGACAGCAGCUGUGACUUGCCAGGGGUUUCUCACUGUGCCAUGGUGCUCCAGUUUGUGCUUUCUCCUUGCUGCAGCUCUGCUGCCUGCCAGCCUGUCCCAGGAGUAUUCCAGCAUCCUGGAGGCGACCUGGGCUUGUUGCAGCAGCAGACACCCCUCCUGGCUCACUGACAGGGACAGGAGCUGAGUUUCCAGGCAGCUGCCACAGCUACGUGCUGCCACAGCCAGAGAAGUUACAGAAAGAAACAACAACAUUAAAUUUCCCUUGGCCUUAGAAGCUUGCUCCUGGGCAGUCACUUGGUGGGGCUGAAACCCCCCCUGUUCUUACCGAGAAGGGGCAUUCCUGCUGCCUACCCUGCCCGCACCCUGCUCAGGGCCCAGGGCUAGCGAUGGGCUGCUCCCGAGGGGGGUCACAGAGGGCUGUGAUCUGGGAGGAUCUGCCUUGCACCAGAGAGCUGAGGGAAAAGCUGCGCUCACUGCAAGCACCUGGUCUGCGACACAAGUGUUGCCCACAGGGUACCAGGCCAGGACUGAGUCCCCAGCCUUGUCAGCAGGCAACCCUGGGAUCCUCAUGGCAUCUGGAAGACCAAACCCUGGAUGUGCUGUGCUUCUGUGCAAGGGACCUGCAGUCCAACCCCCCCCCCCCCACACACACACACACACAACUGUGAUGUUCCAGGUAAUCCUCCUGCCUGAUGCCAAGGCACUGUGAGGAAGAGAGUUGGAGAUCAGUGGAUGAACAGAGCAGAUACACAGAUGGCCCAGCAGACUGCAUUCCAACAGUCCUCAUAUGUGUCUUCCUGCAGGUAAUUAGUUCCUUGGUUUUGAAUGGCUUUUCUGAGGACGUGAGCUGGAAAGUGAAUGGUGCUGCUGAGCUCCAGAAGGCAAGCACGCUGCACUGGCCUGUGGGGACCCGCUGGGCUGAUCUCGCCCCUGCAGCUUUAAAGAUGUGUCCCAAGCCACGCGCACCCCGGCCCAGCGCAAGAGGAGCACUCAGGGAAAGACAUUGGGCUUUGCAAAGCUGGAUCCAGGAUUCAAUGCAAUCAGGAUGUGCAGCCAUUGUACCAAUACAGCAAAACAGAAAGAGGGGUCACUGUACAGUAACUGGACAGCCUUGGCUGCAGGACAGACCUCAGCCCAGCCUACCAUCGCAGCUGCUGGGUGCUGGGCAGCACCUGGCUCUUCACGUUGUGGCUCUGGGCGGUGAGGAAGGGUAAAGCAGCAGUGUGAGCUGAGCGCCCCAGCGUUUGCCUCUUCUGAGAUGUGUGCAGCUUGGCAUGCCACCACCUGCCUCUUCUGCUGGUGCGUUUGCCAGUUGUUUCUGGUUAGGAUGCCAAGCACUUGUUCUUAGGCAUCCCUCAUCUCUUGCUGGGGACAGAAAGUGUUUGUGGCGCUGGGAUAAUAACUGCCUUGUCUAGCCACACUGCACUUCUAUGGACAUACAUUUUUCAUCUGCCUACAUCUCUGCUAUAGAAGGGCUGCUCAGGUGAGCAUGGAUUAGUCCAGCUGUUCACUGUGGGGAGCAGGCACCAGCCAUUUCUAAUCAGGAUGCAUUCCCUCAGUGAGUGUUUUAACCAUGGUAAUUGGAGAGGUUUUAAUCCCUCUUCUGCUGCGGGAAGCACGCACUGCUAACAGAAGCGAUCCACCCUGACUUGUCCCCAGCUGAGUCAGCCCACAGCAGCUUCCUCUGUGGUCAGAAGCCGCUCACCUUUAGCCAGGAGCCAGGCAGCUGCUGAAAUCCCUUCACAUUGCACGCAAAUUAGGCAUUGAAAAUACUCAUUACAGCCAACAUGACACACCUUCAUUAUUCCAAAAUAAUUGUCUGAAAGGCUCGGCUUGCUACACAGGCUUCACUUGGUGCAGAAAUGUGAUAAAAAGAAAACAGGAAGUGCAAUCAAUGCUUGUAAUCCUUUUAAAUAAAAAGGUACUUGCUAGUAGCUGCCAACAUCUUUAAAAAGCUGUGAUUUCCCUGGAGAGAGCCCUUAUCAGCUAUGACUGCAUGUCAUUCUGGCUGUCUGUCAAUCCAUCAGAAUCCAGUGCCACUGACAUUAAGAAGCCAGGCGUUAAGAUUAUCACAUUUAGCCGUAAUGUAGCACAGAUUGUGUUGACAUUUGGAAAAUAUUCCACCACAGGAGCCAUUUGACUUCUAUGCUUUCUUCACAAAGAAAAAAAUGCUUUGAAACAUUUCAGGGCGGGAGCCUGCCCUGCCCGGGGGCACUGGGUGGCUGUGCCCCGCCGCUGCAGUGAGCGGGAGGGAGACGAGGGCAUGCAGGUGCCGUGACCGCAUGCGGCAUCAGUGCAGGGGCAGCCCCGGCUCCAUGUCGGAUGCCGUGUGGAUGAAGCCUCACACUGGUGCUCACAACAUUGCCCACAGCUCUGCUGGCAUCCUGCGCACCCAGGCAGUGCCUGCUGCAGGCAUGCUUCCUGGGAGCACUGCUCUCUAGGCCAGCCCCAGCUCCUGCACCACACUCGUGUUUUCGCUCCUUGAGGAAGUGUCCCCUGAGCACACACGGGGCUGCCGCGGUGCAGCUCAGGCUUUGCUGGCAGGGACAGGCAAGCAGCACCGUGGGAACGUGCCGCAGGGACACGGGCUCCUUCCGUCUGCCUGGGAAGGCCUCAGAUCUUCCUGCGUUGGAGGAGAUUCCAGGCCAUGCACUGGGGAGAUGCUGAGCCAUAGAAACAAUGGUAAACGACCUGAAAUGAACUGAUUAAUCUCUUUAAAUAACUGUGAAACCAUUUUCCAGAAAAAGUUAAUCUACUCUAAAUGGCUCUGGUGCUUUUUCUGGUGCUCCAAUCAAUAUGUGGUCGCUUGCUUUUCAUGUGUAAUUCACAGUAAUUGCAAAAGAGCUUUUUUUCUGAAGAAAAUGACAUUCUGCAAGCAGAAGUGCAAAGAGAGACUAGGACCAAUUAGCUUUAAAUCCCAGAACAAAACUUGCUGUCGGAUGCACGGCAGAGCUGAAGAUGCCGCAGCAUCAGAGCUUGGUAUCCUGGGUUCCUCUCUGGGAAGGCACCAGCAGUGCCGAAGCGUGCCAUGGCUGGCGGCGUGCUCGGCAGCCUCUGGUGCUGCCAGGCAGGCACUGGGAGCCUGCCCUGCGGAGCCUCAGCCACGGAGGGAAGGUGGGUGCAGGACUACAAGGCUGGGCCCAUCCUCUCCAGCCUUUGCAGGUGAACAUUGCUGGGUAACACUCAGAAGUUAGCACAGCGCUAGCUUCUAAUGGUAACACUCAGCAUGGCACAACUCAGAAACCAUCGCUGGGGCUGCCUUGGUGCAGGACAGCCCUGCCUGCGGAGCUGGCACGGCCCAGCCUCAGGUCAGUGUGGUGCCGUCCCGCGCCCUCGAUCUCCCGCUUGACUUCCUGGUUCCCUGGUUCUUCCCAUCUUCUCCCAGCCCACUGGCAUGUGCCCACACAGACAGCUCUGCCCUGCCCCAGCCUGGGGCUGACGAGGGCCAACAUGGGGCAGAUGGAGAGGCGGACAGAGGGAAGGGAGGAUGGGAUGGUGUCCCCAGCAGGGCUGGGCUGCCAGGGGAGGUCCUGCAGUCCUGCCCUGCAGCUGCCUGAAGGGAGGAUGGGCACCCCCUUCCAAGGAGCCCAUUGCUUUCUGUCAUCUGCUGUAAAACCAGAACAUAAUUUUCCAGGAUGUCAUUCUAAUUCUAGUGGGAAAGCUUAUUACUUGUGAUUUACCCAUAAAAAAGCCCAGUGACUUACGACUGUGUGUCUGUGGGCUUGCCCAUCAAUCCAUCAUGGGUGCUGCAGGUGGUUCUCUGUAGGGCAAGGGGAGCAGAUAUGAGGACCGAGGUGAGUCUGCUGCUGUGAUUGACAUGCUGCUUUUACCAUCUGUAAAGUCUCUGACAUAUUCCUUUUGGCUCAGCGCAGAUCCGCACUGCUGAGCUCCAGCACAAAUGUCAUUAAAACAUGUUCUACCCAUGGUACCUAUAAAUAAUUGAGGCAGCAGGUCUGCACUAAGCUCUGUGCUGCAGCGCUCUGUUCCUACACUGAAGGGGGGCAGGAAGAUGACCUUUCCUUCUCCCAUUUUCCACUUUUGAAAUUAGGGGGUGUCUGGUGCUUUGUCCCUGCACUCAGCACACCCAUUUCACUGCUGGACCAUUUCACUGCUUGGGGUCUGUUGUGCAGAGGAGUGGGCGCAGACUGGUUGGUGGGAGCAUCCCAUUUCUGUGCCAGACCCCCAGGCAGUACAGUCCUGCCACCCCUUCUCUUCACAGGAUGGAUGACCCACAGCCUUUCGGCAUGUCCUGGCACAGGGCAAAGGGUAGACGCUGUCCCUGAUCCAGCCUCCUGCAGGUCAGCAGGGACUGGCCAUAGGCAGGCAGAUGAGCCUGCAGGCACGGCAGCAGCAUGGGGCACCAGCGAGCUGGAGCUAGUCCCUGGCGAGAGGGCCUAGCUCACACCCUCAGCAUCAGGCGCCCUCGCCGCCCCUGCAUGGUUGGCAGCUCACCCUGUGCCCACGAGCAAGUUGCUUCUUUUCUGCCUUCUCAUGACAGUUGCCAGCUGCCCUGUGUCAGGGGAGUCGUUACCAAGCCUCAUGUUGGGAACAUGGGGUAUAAAUACCAAGCUCUAGCAACACCAUUUCAUGGUGCUGACAGCAGUAAUCUGGCAGUGACACCGGAUGCUGUCCUCCCGCUGCACCGCCAGCCUGCACCAGGCUUCACCACUGCCAUCCCAGGGCUCCCUGGGCACAGGUCAGUGUGCCUGUGGGGUGCCGGUGUCACUGCUGGAGAGGCCACACGCAGGAGAAUGCAGGGGGCACACCCUGGCUGCACACGUGGUUUGGGAAUGUAGGAGCACCCUCCUUCCACAGCAGCAGAGCCUUGCCCCCAGGCCCUGGACCAGGCAGAGGGGCUGAGCGGGGUCCCUGUCCUGCCCCCUUGCCCCCACACACGCCCAUGCAGUGGUGGGCACGUGCAGGGGUGGGCAUUGACUGUGAGUGGAGGUGUGCAGCCAUGCAGAAGCAUGCGUGUGCUGAGGCACAGAUGUUGUGCUGCGCAGCGUGCAUAUGCCCUGAUAGAUCAAGAAGGUAUAUUAAAUAGCAGCUGUCGGGAUCUUUCUGAACACAGCGGUAACACAGCUGGGACUGUUGUGAUGUCUUCUUAAUUUAAACUCCUGUUGUCUUUCAGCCACGUGCUAACGAGGGCUAAUGGGGAGAUCAGCCUGCUGUUUGCCAGCAUGGCUGUAUGCUUUGCCACAGCCCUGUUGCUCCUGCGAAUCUGGCUCUGCUCACCAGCCGGUGCCUUUCCCUGCCUUGCUGCUCAGGACACGUUCCUGUGGGGAGGGUGCUCAAGGUUUGUUCCCUAGGGAGCAAGCUCCAGCUCAGUGCAACAAAAACUGCUCCAUCUCACCAUCUUUUCUGACUGCAGAGCAGCAAGACUCUCUCAGGGAGCUAAGCCUCCUUGUGCUGCUCAGAGGCAGCCCCUGCUGUCUUCAGGGCUCCCUCGUAUUCCAGCAUUGCCAGCCCCAGUGAGACCCUGGUGUGCUUGGGGUGCAGUGGGCGUUGGUGACUGGAGGAGCGAUAUCCCUGUCUGGUUUGGCCACAGCUCAGUGGCUUUCUGUGACCUGCCUGCCCUGGCUUGUGCAGCUGUGGUGCUGGCGCUUGGGGAUGGGGCAGCUCUGCACAGGAAAUCUGCUCCGCAGGGCUGCUGCAGGCUCUUGGGAAGGAUGGGGCUCCAGGAGCAGCCCCGGGGGCCCAUCGCCUCACUCCCUGCCUGUCCCACGCUCCAGCACUGCAGGCUCUGCCCUUUCCAUGGUCGCAGGUGCCGGGUGCACAGCAUGACCUUGUCCUGGGGGCUGCGGCAGGCGCUGGUCAGUGGGAGCACCAGCAGCAUCUCUGGAGCUUCUUCUCCCAGCCCUGUGCAAGCACUAAUACACAUAUUUAUCAGGAUUAAUGAAGCAUACAGCAACUGUAUAGGAGAGGCAAAGCAAGCAGCAGAAAGACAAAGCCGGUGGAUGAGAGCAGGUGUGGAUGAAGAGAAGUCAGGGCACUGUGCAGACCUGGGGAGCUGUAUGGGUGCGUGCUGGUCGGGGCUGUGUGCACGUGGCAUGCACUCCCAGCGCACACACUCCCAGAUAACUGCAUGGACACUUGGAAAUGCUCAUGUCUGCUCACCAUUGCGUCUCUGUGCACACAAGCAUAAAGAACAAGAGGGACAGCCUUACUACAUAGCAGCCAUAAAUGUUAGAAAAAGUCCUCGAAUACUAACACAUCACACCAUAUUUGCAUAGUUGCUUAAUAAAAAAUUAUGACUGUUCAAAGCCC
Molecule: long non-coding RNA, 8393 nt
Organism: Oxyura jamaicensis (ruddy duck)
Lineage: Eukaryota; Metazoa; Chordata; Aves; Anseriformes; Anatidae
Exons: 2
Source: RefSeq, a predicted model, not a curated record